Molecule: ribosomal RNA, 377 nt
Filed under: uncultured eukaryote
Lineage: Eukaryota
Description: partial 18S ribosomal RNA
Rfam family: Eukaryotic small subunit ribosomal RNA
Source: RNAcentral
CAAUAGCGUAUAUUUAAGUUGCUGCAGUUAAAAAGCUCGUAGUUGGAUUUCGGGUGGGAAUGGCCGGUCCGCCGUUUCGGUGUGCACUUGCUACGCCCACCUUGCUGCCGGGGACGUGCUCUUGAGUUCACGCUCGGGACACGGAGUCGGCGAGGUUACUUUGAGUAAAUUAGAGUGUUCAAAGCAGGCCUACGCUCUGAAUACAUUAGCAUGGAAUAACACGAUAGGACUCUGGCCUAUCUUGUUGGUCUGUAGGACCGGAGUAAUGAUUAAGAGGGACAGUCGGAGGCAUUCGUAUUUCAUUGUCAGAGGUGAAAUUCUUGGAUUUAUGAAAGACGAACUACUGCGAAAGCAUUUGCCAAGGAUGUUUUCAUUAA